This 579-nucleotide long non-coding RNA is filed under the name Oreochromis niloticus (Nile tilapia). Its description in RNAcentral is "lncRNA (ENSONIG00000024591.2)". Lineage: Eukaryota; Metazoa; Chordata; Actinopteri; Cichliformes; Cichlidae. The record is from RNAcentral.
UUUUAAAUUGUGUUUUACUUUUAUCUGUUUCUAGCUGUUUUCGCAAAGUCAGCCAACCUCUUGCUUCCAAAUGACCCUUAUCCAGAAGUAUCCGUGAGUACCUCAUCAACAGAAACUAAAGUGGAGACCUACCUCUCAGAGGAAAAACGCACACAUAAGAAAAGCCGACCCACUUCAGUACUGGGAAGAACAUCCUAAUCUGUUUCCCUCUAUGGCUGCUGUUGCGAUCCCAGUGUGCCCCCUGUAGCUCUGUGGACAGUUUUGGAUUUGUUUACAUCUCACCCCAACCGGUCGCGGCAAAUGGCUGAACCUCCCUGAGCCUGGUUCUGCCGGAGGUUUCUUCCUGUUAAAAAGGAGUUUUUCUGAACACACUCUACCAGCAACACUGACGGCUCACCAGUGGGAAGUGAUAGAUAAGACUGCUGAUGUGCUCUCAUCCAUUGAAGAGCUGACCAGAAACAUGAACAGGGAGACUGCAACUGCACCUGAUGGGAUCCCUGCCAAAACAGUGAAGGCAGUGGAGAAGCCCUACACUGAUGUUGAAACUGUGCCACUCUUCUAGAAACCAGCUACAAGGAU